This 24-nucleotide non-coding RNA is filed under the name Arabidopsis thaliana (thale cress). The record is from RNAcentral. Lineage: Eukaryota; Viridiplantae; Streptophyta; Magnoliopsida; Brassicales; Brassicaceae.
ACAGACGGCACAAUUACACGGUAC